GUGCCCCCCGCCGCGGUAAUACGGAGGGUGCAAGCGUUAUCCGGAUUUAUUGGGUUUAAAGGGUCCGUAGGCGGAUGCGUAAGACAGUGGUGAGAUCUCACAGCUCAACUGUGAAACUGCCAUUGAUACUGCGUGUCUAGAGUGAGGUUGAAGUAGCUGGAAUAAGUAGUGUAGCGGUGAAAUGCAUAGAUAUUACUUAGAACACCAAUUGCGAAGGCAGGUUACUAAGUCUCAACUGACGCUGAUGGACGAAAGCGUGGGGAGCGAGCAGGAUUAGAUACCCUGGUAGUCCACGCUGUAAACGAUGCUAACUCGUUUUUGGGGACUUAUCUUCAGAGACUAAGCGAAAGUGAUAAGUUAGCCACCUGGGGAGUACGAACGCAAGUUUGAAACUCAAAGGAAUUGACGGGGGCCCGCACAAGCGGUGGAUUAUGUGGUUUAAUUCGAUGAUACGCGAGGAAACCUUACCAAGGCUUAAAAUGGGGAUUGAUCGGUUUAGAAAUAGACCUUCCUUCGGGCAAUUUUCAAGGUGCUGCAUGGUUGUCGUCAGCUCGUGCCGUGAGGUGUUAGGUUAAGUCCUGCAUCGAGCGCAACCCCUGUCACUAGUUGCCAUCAUUCAGUUGGGGACUCUAGUGAGACUGCCUACGCAAGUAGAGAGGAAGGUGGGGACGACGUCAAAUCAUCACGGCCCUUACGCCUUGGGCCACACACGUAAUACAAUGGCCGGUACAGAGGGCAGCUACACAGCGAUGUGAUGCAAAUCUCGAAAGCCGGUCUCAGUUCGGAUUGGAGUCUGCAACUCGACUCUAUGUAGCUGGAAUCGCUAGUAAUCGCGCAUCAGCCAUGGCGCGGUGAAUACGUUCCCGGGCCUUGUACACACCGCCCGUCAAGCCAUGGAAGUCUGGGGUACCUGAAGUCGGUGACCGUAAAAGGAGCUGCCUAGGGUAAAACAGGUAACUAGGGUUAAGUCGUAACAAGGUAGCC
This 984-nucleotide ribosomal RNA is filed under the name uncultured Flavobacteriaceae bacterium. RNAcentral's name for it is "bacterial SSU rRNA". It matches the Rfam family "Bacterial small subunit ribosomal RNA", at positions 505 to 1501 of the family's 1533-position model. The record is from RNAcentral. Lineage: Bacteria; Pseudomonadati; Bacteroidota; Flavobacteriia; Flavobacteriales; Flavobacteriaceae.